GACGAACGCUGGCGGCGUGCUUAACACAUGCAAGUCGAGCGGUAAGGCUCCUUCGGGAGUACACGAGCGGCGAACGGGUGAGUAACACGUGAGUAAUCUGCCCUUCACUUCGGGAUAACCACCGGAAACGGUGGCUAAUACCGAAUACGACCAGUCUUCGCAUGAGGUGCUGGUGGAAAGUCUUUUCGGUGCAGGAUGUGCUCGCGGCCUAUCAGCUUGUUGGUGGGGUAAUGGCCUACCAAGGCUUCGACGGGUAGCCGGCCUGAGAGGGUGACCGGCCACACUGGGACUGAGACACGGCCCAGACUCCUACGGGAGGCAGCAGUGGGGAAUAUUGGACAAUGGGCGAAAGCCUGAUCCAGCAACGCCGCGUGAGGGAUGACGGCCUUCGGGUUGUAAACCUCUUUCAGUACCGACGAAGCGCCCUGUCGGGUGGUGACGGUAGGUACAGAAGAAGGACCGGCCAACUACGUG
Molecule: ribosomal RNA, 474 nt
Filed under: uncultured bacterium
Lineage: Bacteria
Description: partial 16S ribosomal RNA
Rfam family: Bacterial small subunit ribosomal RNA
Source: RNAcentral